GUUUCUAUAGUUGAUUUACAACGAUGAUUUUUCAUGUCAUUGGUCACAGUAUAAUGCUGUGUAGAAAUA
RNAcentral lists this transfer RNA (69 nucleotides) under Colomys lumumbai. RNAcentral describes it as "Colomys sp. l TG-2021 tRNA-Glu". Lineage: Eukaryota; Metazoa; Chordata; Mammalia; Rodentia; Muridae. The record is from RNAcentral.